GACGAACGCUGGCGGCGUGCUUAACACAUGCAAGUCUAGCGAGGCCCCUCCUUCGGGAGGGUGUCCUAGCGGCGAACGGAUGAGUAACACGUGGGCAACCUGCCCUCAGCUCUGGGAUAACUCCGGGAAACCGGGGCUAAUACCGGAUACGACCUCCACGGGCAUCUGCGGAGGUGGAAAGUUUUUCGGCUGAGGAUGGGCCCGCGGCCUAUCAGCUAGUUGGUGGGGUAGUGGCCCACCAAGGCGACGACGGGUAGCCGGCCUGAGAGGGCGACCGGCCACACUGGGACUGAGACACGGCCCAGACUCCUACGGGAGGCAGCAGUGGGGAAUAUUGCGCAAUGGGCGAAAGCCUGACGCAGCGACGCCGCGUGAGGGACGAAGGCCUUCGGGUUGUAAACCUCUUUCAGCAGGGACGAAGCGAAAGUGACGGUACCUGCAGAAGAAGCACCGGCCAACUACGUG
RNAcentral lists this ribosomal RNA (465 nucleotides) under uncultured bacterium. RNAcentral's name for it is "partial 16S ribosomal RNA". It matches the Rfam family "Bacterial small subunit ribosomal RNA", at positions 28 to 507 of the family's 1533-position model. The record is from RNAcentral.